AGUUUACUCUUUAUGGUGGCGACCGGCGGACGGGUGCGUAACGCGUAUGCAACCUGCCUGACACAGGGGGAUAAUCCGAAGAAAUUUGGUCUAAUACCCCAUAAUACCGAUAUAGGCAUCUAUGUUGGUUGAAAGCUUUGGUGGUGUCAGAUGGGCAUGCGUUGUAUUAGCUAGUUGGUGAGGUAACGGCUCACCAAGGCGACGAUACAUAGGGGGACUGAGACACGGCCCAAACUCCUACGGGAGGCAGCAUG
Molecule: ribosomal RNA, 254 nt
Filed under: uncultured bacterium
Lineage: Bacteria
Description: partial 16S ribosomal RNA
Rfam family: Bacterial small subunit ribosomal RNA
Source: RNAcentral